RNAcentral lists this ribosomal RNA (422 nucleotides) under uncultured eukaryote. RNAcentral describes it as "SSU rRNA". It matches the Rfam family "Eukaryotic small subunit ribosomal RNA", at positions 592 to 1018 of the family's 1831-position model. The record is from RNAcentral.
CAAUAGCGUAUAUUAAAGUUGUUGCGGUUAAAAAGCUCGUAGUUGGAUUUCUGCUGAGGACGAUCGGUCCGCCCUCUGGGUGAGCAUUGACUCGGCCUUGGCAUCUUCUUGGAGAACGCUACUGCACUUGACUGUGUGGUGCGGUAUCCAGGACUUUUACUUUGAGGAAAUUAGAGUGUUCACUGCAGGCAUACGCCUUGAAUACGUUAGCAUGGAAUAAUAAGAUAGGACCUCGGUUCUAUUUUUUCGGUUUCUAGAGCUGAGGUAAUGAUUAACAGGGAUAGUUGGGGGCGAUUCGUAUUUAACUGUCAGAGGUGAAAUUCUUGGAUUUGUUAAAGACGAACUACUGCGAAAGCAUUUGCCAAGGAUGUUUUCAUUGAUCAAGAACGAAAGUUAGGGGAUCGAAGACGAUUAGAUACCGU